AGAUGUAUUUGUUAUUUUAUAGCGGCCUUCCAGAUAAACCCCCCACCCCAAACUCCCAUCCGUCCUGACCAUUGGGAGUUGGAUGUCCAAAAGAAGCUGGAGGGUCUCAAGUUGACAGGUUGCUUCAGGCAUUGCAGAAUCUUUCAGUUCCAGGCAAUGGGUUCAUAGGCAACUUCUUCAGUGAAACUUGCUUGUAAAAGCUGACCAGGCUUCUGUGGCACCGAGUUCAUGUGUUUAAACCAUUCAUUGAAGGCUUCAUGGGCUUCCUAAAUUGGGUUGGAAAUGUUUAGUCAUUUUCAUGUAGGCAAUGGUGACGUUGUUCUGUCUCCGUGACAUCUUCCAAGAACGCAGCAUACUGAGCAAUAGCUACAUCCUGAG
Molecule: long non-coding RNA, 378 nt
Organism: Podarcis muralis (Common wall lizard)
Lineage: Eukaryota; Metazoa; Chordata; Lepidosauria; Squamata; Lacertidae
Source: RefSeq, a predicted model, not a curated record